AGAUAUGAGGCUCAUCUGGCUGUGACAUCUCUCACACUAUUGAUUGCCAAGCUUGAUUUGGCUGGUAUGGCUAGCUAGGCAGGUGUCCACUUCCUCCCUCACCACUCCAUGUGUAUUGCUUCUGAAGCUAUGUACUUGGUUAAAAAGGACAAACUUCCCCAAAUAGAGAAGGGAAUGAGUAUCUGAGGUCCAUGCUAAAACCUCCAAACAAACUCUUAAUAGAAUAAAGGAUAACAUUUUAAACAGAAGCAAUUGCCACAAGAUGCAGGUGCAAAACAAGUCAACUUU
RNAcentral lists this small nuclear RNA (288 nucleotides) under Meriones unguiculatus (Mongolian gerbil). RNAcentral describes it as "7SK RNA (ENSMUGG00000004167.1)". It matches the Rfam family "7SK RNA". From Rfam's summary of the family: 7SK was discovered as an abundant small nuclear RNA in the mid-70s but a possible function has only recently been suggested. Two independent studies have found that 7SK RNA binds the CDK9/cyclin T complex (known as elongation factor P-TEFb). The record is from RNAcentral. Lineage: Eukaryota; Metazoa; Chordata; Mammalia; Rodentia; Muridae.